Molecule: ribosomal RNA, 427 nt
Filed under: uncultured bacterium
Lineage: Bacteria
Description: bacterial SSU rRNA
Rfam family: Bacterial small subunit ribosomal RNA
Source: RNAcentral
UAGGGAAUAUUGGACAAUGGGGGCAACCCUGAUCCAGCCAUGCCGCGUGAGUGAAGAAGGCCCUCGGGUUGUAAAGCUCUUUUGUCCGGAAAGAAAAGCAUUCGGUGAAUACCCGGAUGUUCUGACGGUACCGGAAGAAUAAGCACCGGCUGACUUCGUGCCAGCAGCCGCGGUAAUACGAAGGGUGCAAGCGUUACUCGGAAUUACUGGGCGUAAAGCGUGCGUAGGUGGUUGUUUAAGUCUGAUGUGAAAGCCCUGGGCUCAACCUGGGAAUGGCAUUGGAAACUGUGCAGCUAGAGUGCGGUAGAGGGUAGUGGAAUUCCCGGUGUAGCAGUGAAAUGUGUAGAGAUCGGGAGGAACAUCUGUGGCGAAGGCGACUGCCUGGACCAGCACUGACGCUGAGGCACGAAAGCGUGGGGAGCAAACA